This 91-nucleotide ribosomal RNA is filed under the name Leptolyngbya sp. FACHB-161. Its description in RNAcentral is "partial 16S ribosomal RNA". It matches the Rfam family "Bacterial small subunit ribosomal RNA", at positions 1 to 99 of the family's 1533-position model. The record is from RNAcentral. Lineage: Bacteria; Bacillati; Cyanobacteriota; Cyanophyceae; Leptolyngbyales; Leptolyngbyaceae.
UUUACUAUGGAGAGUUUGAUCCUGGCUCAGGAUGAACGCUGGCGGUAUGCUUAACACAUGCAAGUCGAACGGUCUCUUCGGAGAUAGUGGC